CCAGGCAGCUGGGGAAAGAAAAGGAACUGCAGAACAUGUUCCAAGCCAUCCUGCACCCCCCACCCGGGGUGGCGGCUGCUGAGGUGGUAGAGCCGAAUUUCCCUUCCCUGCAAGACCUGCUGCGGGAACCAGACUCCUUGCGCAAGAAGAGCGUGAUCCUCCUCUUUGUUGGGCUGGUCCUGAGCUCCAUGCUGGUGACCCUGUUGCUCAUGGGAGUUUAUUAUUGGGCUACAGACGUGGAGAAAUCCUGAACCAUGAAGAAGUCCACAGCGACCUCCCAUCUCUUCCCUCUCCUUGAGACUUCUGCUGUUCCCUAACAAAGACCAUACAGAGAUAAAUUGUUAUAUAAUAAU
This is a long non-coding RNA of Sphaerodactylus townsendi, 353 nucleotides long. RefSeq lists it as uncharacterized. The record is from RefSeq and is a predicted model, not a curated record. NCBI's taxonomy places the organism in Eukaryota, Metazoa, Chordata, Lepidosauria, Squamata, Sphaerodactylidae. The transcript is spliced from 2 exons.